Gorilla gorilla gorilla (western lowland gorilla) is the source of this 75-nucleotide microRNA precursor. The record is from Ensembl. Lineage: Eukaryota; Metazoa; Chordata; Mammalia; Primates; Hominidae.
UACAGGUCUGUAGCCUGGGAGCAAUGGGAUGUAUGGUAUAGGGGUAGCCUCGUGCUCCUGGGCUACAAACCUGUA